UCGGGGUGCGCAGGCGCGAAAACUUUACNCUGCCGGCAACGGCNUAUAGGGAACCUCGAGUGCCAGGUUACAAAUCUGGCUGUCGUGAUGCCUAAAAAGCAUUGCAUAGCAAGGGCCGGGCAAGACCGGUGCCAGCCGCCGCGGUAACACCGGCGGCUCGAGUGGUAACCGUUAUUAUUGGGUCUAAAGGGUCUGUAGCCGGCCGGGUAAGUCUCUUGGGAAAUCUGGCAGCUUAACUGUCAGGCUUUCAGGAGAUACUGCCUGGCUCGAGGCCGGGAGAGGUGAGAGGUACUUCAGGGGUAGGGGUGAAAUCUUGUAAUCCUUGAAGGACCACCAGUGGCGAAGGCGUCUCACCAGAACGGACCUGACGGCAAGGGACGAAAGCUAGGGGCACGAACCGGAUUAGAUACCCGGGUAGUCCUAGCCGUAAACGAUACUCGCUAGGUGUCGGCCACGGUGCGACCGUGGUCGGUGCCGUAGGGAAGCCGUGAAGCGAGCCACCUGGGAAGUACGGCCGCAAGGCUGAAACUUAAAGGAAUUGGCGGGGGAGCAC
RNAcentral lists this ribosomal RNA (553 nucleotides) under uncultured archaeon. RNAcentral's name for it is "bacterial SSU rRNA". It matches the Rfam family "Archaeal small subunit ribosomal RNA", at positions 325 to 879 of the family's 1478-position model. The record is from RNAcentral.